RNAcentral lists this ribosomal RNA (856 nucleotides) under marine metagenome. Its description in RNAcentral is "bacterial SSU rRNA". It matches the Rfam family "Bacterial small subunit ribosomal RNA", at positions 8 to 848 of the family's 1533-position model. The record is from RNAcentral.
AGAGUUUGAUCCUGGCUCAGGAAGAACGCUGGCGGCGUGCUUAACACAUGCAAGUCUAAGGAGAAAGUUCCUUCGGGAGCAAGUAAACUGGCGAACGGGUGAGUAACGCGUAGGUAACCUACCCUUAAGCUCGGGAUAACCCACCGAAAGGUGAGCUAAUACCGGAUAAUAUCUUUCCUCAUAAGGGGUAAAGAUCAAAGGUGGCUUCGGCUAUCACUUAUGGAUGGGCCUGCGUCUGAUUAGCUAGUUGGUAAGGUAAUGGCUUACCAAAGCAAUGAUCAGUAGCUGGUCUGAGAGGACGAUCAGCCACAUUGGGACUGAGAUACGGCCCAGACUCCUACGGGAGGCAGCAGUGGGGAAUUUUGCGCGAUGAGCGAAAGCUUGACGCAGCAACGCCGCGUGAUCGAAGAAGCUCUGCGGAGUGUAAAGAUCUGUCAUAGGGGAAGAAAAAUUUCGUUAUUAACACCAUCGGAACGUGACGGUACCCUAUAAGAAAGCCCCGGCUAACUUCGUGCCAGCAGCCGCGGUAAUACGAGGGGGGCAAGCGUUGUCCGGAUUUAUUGGGCGUAAAGAGUUCGUAGGCUGGUUGGUCAGUCGAAAUUGAAAUCCCACGGCUUAACCGUGGUUCCGGUUUCGAUACUGCUGAUCUUGAGUGAGGUAGAGGUAAGCGGAAUUCCUGGUGUAGCGGUGAAAUGCGUAGAUAUCAGGAGGAACACCAAAGGCGAAGGCAGCUUACUGGACCUAUACUGACGCUGAGGAACGAAAGCGUGGGGAGCGAACAGGAUUAGAGACCCUGGUAGUCCACGCCGUAAACGAUGAGUACUUGGUGGUGGAGGAUUCGACCCCUUCACUGUCG